GUCGUAACAAGGUUUCCGUAGGUGAACCUGCGGAAGGAUCAUUAGUGAACGCCCUCACGGGCUUAUAACUAUUCCAAACCUCUGUGAACCGUGCCCUUCGGGGCUAUUUUACAAACAUGGUGUAAUGAACGUCAUAUAUCAUAACAAAACAAAACUUUCAACAACGGAUCUCUUGGCUCUCGCAUCGAUGAAGAACGCAGCGAAAUGCGAUAAGUAAUGUGAAUUGCAGAAUUCAGUGAAUCAUCGAAUCUUUGAACGCACCUUGCGCCCUCUGGUAUUCCGGAGGGCAUGCCUGUUUGAGUGUCAUGUAGACUCAAUCCCUCGGGUUUCCGAGGAGAUUGGACUUGGGUGUUGCCGCUCUGCCGGCUCGCCUUAAAAGACUUAGCGGGAUAGCACCGUAGUCGGCGUAAUAAGUUUCGUCGGUGAAGGUUGUGAUGACUGCUUACAAUCGCCCUCGGGCAAUUUUUGACUCUGACCUCAAAUCAGGUAGGACUACCCGCUGAACUUAAGCAUAUCAAUAAGCGGAGGAAAAGAAACUAACAAGGAUUCCCCUAGUAGCGGCGAGCGAAGCGGGAUGAGCUCAAAUUUGAAAGCUGGCGUCCUUCGGGCGUCCGCAUUGUAAUCUAUAGAGGCGUUUUCUGUGCUGGACCGUGUACAGUCUCCUG
This 665-nucleotide ribosomal RNA is filed under the name uncultured fungus. RNAcentral describes it as "eukaryotic LSU rRNA". The stretch from base 153 to 306 matches the Rfam family "5.8S ribosomal RNA". The record is from RNAcentral. Lineage: Eukaryota; Fungi.